RNAcentral lists this ribosomal RNA (504 nucleotides) under uncultured Cupriavidus sp. RNAcentral's name for it is "partial 16S ribosomal RNA". The record is from RNAcentral. Lineage: Bacteria; Pseudomonadati; Pseudomonadota; Betaproteobacteria; Burkholderiales; Burkholderiaceae.
CACUUAGUUAGCCGGUGCUUAUUCUUCCGGUACCGUCAUCCACGCCAGGUAUUAACCAGCGCGAUUUCUUUCCGGACAAAAGUGCUUUACAACCCGAAGGCCUUCUUCACACACGCGGCAUUGCUGGAUCAGGGUUGCCCCCAUUGUCCAAAAUUCCCCACUGCUGCCUCCCGUAGGAGUCUGGGCCGUGUCUCAGUCCCAGUGUGGCUGAUCGUCCUCUCAGACCAGCUACUGAUCGUCGCCUUGGUGGGCCUUUACCCCACCAACUAGCUAAUCAGACAUCGGCCGCUCCUGCUGCGUGAGGCCUUGCGGUCCCCCACUUUCACCCUCAGGUCGUAUGCGGUAUUAGCUAAUCUUUCGACUAGUUAUCCCCCACAACAGGGUACGUUCCGAUGUAUUACUCACCCGUUCGCCACUCGCCGCCAGACCGAAGUCCGCGCUGCCGUUCGACUUGCAUGUGUAAGGCAUGCCGCCAGCGUUCAAUCUGAGCCAGGAUCAAACUCU